UACGAGGGGUGCAAGCGUUGCUCGGAAUUAUUGGGCGUAAAGGGUAGGUAGGUGGUCUCAUUUGUCUGGGGUGAAAGCCUUGAGCUUAACUCAAGAAGUGCCCCAGAAACGGUGAGACUCGAGUACUGGAGAGGGUCGUGGAAUUCCCGGUGUAGCGGUGAAAUGCGUAGAGAUCGGGAGGAACACCAGAGGCGAAGGCGGCGACCUGGACAGUUACUGACACUCAACUACGAAAGCGUGGGGAGCAAACAGG
This 253-nucleotide ribosomal RNA is filed under the name uncultured bacterium. Its description in RNAcentral is "partial 16S ribosomal RNA". It matches the Rfam family "Bacterial small subunit ribosomal RNA", at positions 524 to 776 of the family's 1533-position model. The record is from RNAcentral.